Molecule: long non-coding RNA, 658 nt
Filed under: Phoenix dactylifera (date palm)
Lineage: Eukaryota; Viridiplantae; Streptophyta; Magnoliopsida; Arecales; Arecaceae
Description: long non-coding RNA (PDAC_LNC019859)
Source: RNAcentral
ACCAGACUCCCUCGACCUCGGGAGGUAUCACAGGUCAGCAAGGCGUCCACGAACCCGCCGACCUGAUGUGAGAUCCCUCGACCAAGGCUGAGGUGCUCCGAGGUCCGACCAUAGGGUCUUAAGCCCCCUCGAUCUCAAAAAGGGCUCCAAAUCAACAGAGCCUCCCCAGAUCCUCUCAACUCCGGCAGGAGUCGCCGGGUCCAUAGGAAGCCCGAGCCCCUUUUACAAGUCAAAAAUGACUCCGGAGGUCGACGAGGAAGGGAAGCGACCUACUCCACCAUGCGAAGCAUGACCCCGAGAAUGCAAGAGGUACACCCAACUAGACGCCCUCCUUGUCGAAUUUUAUCUACAUAUUGCCGAGCGGGAUCUCGUCCAAUGUUGGAGUCUUAUUUUGCCCCAAAGCCGGGCUUCUUCGCUGGGUCGGCUUAAGACCGACCUCCCAACCUCAUUAUGCCUGCUCUGUUCGUCAAGUCUCCGCAAUCCGUACUAAAGCUUCAUAAAGUAGGGCCCAACUCGGCUCUUCUAAGUAAACUCCGACGUCCAGCUGAGAAAGUGGUCCCGGCCACGAAUGUACCAGCCAAGCACAGGUACCAAGGCGAUCUUCGGGAAUCCCAGCCUUGUUCACCGAAAUCUCGGCAGGGUCCGAGAACGAUAACUA